GGAGGGUGCAAGCGUUAAUCGGGAAUUACUGGGGCGUAAAGCGCGCGUAGGCGGCUUGUCAAGUUGUAUGUGAAAGCCCCGGGGCUUAACCUGGGGAACUGCAUUCAAAACUGGCUAGCUAGAGUACAGUAGAGGUGAGUGGAAUUUCCGGUGUAGCGGUGAAAUGCGUAGAUAUCGGAAGGAACAUCAGUGGCGAAGGCGACUCACUGGACUGAUACUGACGCUGAGGUGCGAAAGCGUGGGUAGCAAACAGGAUUAGAGACCCUGGUAGUCCACGCCGUAAACGAUGAGAACUAGCUGUUGGGAUGGGAAGGCAUCUAAGUAGCGAAGCUAACGCAUUAAGUUCUCCGCCUGGGGAGUACGGUCGCAAGAUUA
Molecule: ribosomal RNA, 375 nt
Filed under: uncultured organism
Description: partial 16S ribosomal RNA
Rfam family: Bacterial small subunit ribosomal RNA
Source: RNAcentral